CUACGGGAGGCAGCAGUGAGGAAUAUUGGACAAUGGGGGGAACCCUGAUCCAGCCAUGCCGCGUGUGUGAAGAAGGCCCUCGGGUUGUAAAGCACUUUCAGCGAGGAAGAACGCCUAGCGGUUAAUACCCGCUAGGAAAGACAUCACUCGCAGAAGAAGCACCGGCUAACUCCGUGCCAGCAGCCGCGGUAAUACGGAGGGUGCAAGCGUUAAUCGGAAUUACUGGGCGUAAAGCGCGCGUAGGUGGCUUGAUAAGCCGGUUGUGAAAGCCCCGGGCUCAACCUGGGAACGGCAUCCGGAACUGUCAAGCUAGAGUGCAGGAGAGGAAGGUAGAAUUCCCGGUGUAGCGGUGAAAUGCGUAGAGAUCGGGAGGAAUACCAGUGGCGAAGGCGGCCUUCUGGACUGACACUGACACUGAGGUGCGAAAGCGUGGGUAGCAAACAGGAUUAGAUACCCUGGUAGUCCACGCCGUAAACGAUGUCGACCAGCCGUUGGGUGCCUAGCGCACUUUGUGGCGAAGUUAACGCGAUAAGUCGACCGCCUGGGGAGUACGGCCGCAAGGUUAAAACUCAAAUGAAUUGACGGGGGCCCGCACAAGCGGUGGAGCAUGUGGUUUAAUUCGAUGCAACGCGAAGAACCUUACCUACUCUUGACAUCCUGCGAAUUUGGUAGAGAUACUUUAGUGCCUUCGGGAACGCAGAGACAGGUGCUGCAUGGCUGUCGUCAGCUCGUGUCGUGACAUGUUG
This 746-nucleotide ribosomal RNA is filed under the name uncultured Halomonas sp. RNAcentral describes it as "bacterial SSU rRNA". It matches the Rfam family "Bacterial small subunit ribosomal RNA", at positions 339 to 1077 of the family's 1533-position model. The record is from RNAcentral. Lineage: Bacteria; Pseudomonadati; Pseudomonadota; Gammaproteobacteria; Oceanospirillales; Halomonadaceae.